GAUGAACGCUAGCGAUAGGCUUAACACAUGCAAGUCGAGGGGCAGCACAAGGUAGCUUGCUAUCUGGGUGGCGACCGGCGCACGGGUGCGUAACGCGUAUGCAACUUGCCCUAUACAGGAGGAUAACCCGUCGAAAGACGGACUAAUACUGCGUAUGCUCACAACUUGGCAUCAAGUGGUGAGGAAAGAAAUUCGGUAUAGGAUAGGCAUGCGUCCCAUUAGCUUGUUGGUGAGGUAACGGCUCACCAAGGCAACGAUGGGUAGGGGAACUGAGAGGUUUAUCCCCCACACUGGCACUGAGACACGGACCAGACUCCUACGGGAGGCAGCAGUGAGGAAUAUUGGUCAAUGGGCGCGAGCCUGAACCAGCCAAGUCGCGUGAAGGAGGACUGUCUUAUGGAUUGUAAACUUCUUUUAUACGGGAAUAACAAGAGUCACGGGUGACUCCCUGCAUGUACCGUAUGAAUAAGCAUCGGCUAACUCCGUG
This 487-nucleotide ribosomal RNA is filed under the name uncultured bacterium. RNAcentral describes it as "partial 16S ribosomal RNA". It matches the Rfam family "Bacterial small subunit ribosomal RNA", at positions 28 to 507 of the family's 1533-position model. The record is from RNAcentral.